Molecule: long non-coding RNA, 796 nt
Organism: Vidua chalybeata
Lineage: Eukaryota; Metazoa; Chordata; Aves; Passeriformes; Viduidae
Exons: 3
Source: RefSeq, a predicted model, not a curated record
GGUGUCAUGUCCAUAAAUCAACCCAGUCCCGAAAAUUCCUGGUCACAGCCUCUGUUCUGUGGCCACUGCAGCUCUCCUGCUCCACAGAGCUCCGUGUCCCCCUAGACCCAGAUGCCAGAAAAUGGGCACAGGUGUCUCAGGAGCCUCAGAAUUCCCAGAACAAGGAGCUGAGGAUGCUGUGUGAAAGCAAAAAUAUUCCCAAGCACGGAAAGGGAGGAAACACGAGAAGCUGGUGCCUGGCAGACGGCAGCUCCUGUCCUGCUUCCACUCCGGGAUGUCCCAGGGCAGCCAGGGAAUCCAAACUUUCCUGCCUGGACGUUGGGCUGUUUCCACACACUCCCAGUUCCAGACUGGUGGGACUGGGAGGAGGGGAGUGGGGUUCAGUGGGGCCUGUGGUGCCCACGAUGGGGUUUGGGGUGGGAUAAUAUUCCCCCAUCCCAGCGGGAGCUGCCACCGGCUCUGCAUCAGAACCCAACCUUCAGCAGACUCCAGAGGAGAGAAAAAGACAACAAAAUGAAACCAUCCCAAAGAGAAUAGAGCAGCUGUGCUGUGGGACGGGGGCAGCAGUGUGGGUGUGAGGGGCUGUAACACAGCACAGCUUUGCAGCUCUCCUCCCAAAGGCAGCGACCCAAAGUGCCCAUCCCUGGGGCAUGGCACUAUGGCUCAGGGGUGCCACUGGAGCCUGGGCAUGCUGCAGUGCUGGCUGUGCCUGCCUGGGUCCCAGUCCCUGUGGAGACACAAAGAUUUGGCACCCAGGGUCCCCUCAUGGUGUGAGACCCCACAAACCCCCACAGCU